CAGACAAUAACAAACAAGGAUUUUCAUCUGGUUUAUCAAGCUGGAUAUGCUUCUGUAAACAUCAGUGUUCAGUGCCUCCAAAAACCACCUAAAUUAAUUAACAGUCCAGUGGAACAUCACACAUCAUCCUCCUUUGCACAGCCAAGUAUGGGGCUGAGAAGCUGGUGUUGCCUCAAGACUACUUUCUAGGAAACCAAAGCACAAUAAAUUAUUCACCAAAAAGCACAACAGAGAAGGAGGGCACCUUUCACUAAGACAUUCUAAAGUACCUUUGAAACCAAGGGGGAUCCAAAUCCUUGUGUUCAGUGAAGAAGACAAGGCACAAGGAGGCCCAGCCCUUGUCAAGGUCACCUUCUCCUCUCCUGGAAGAUCAUCUGGAAUACAACUCAAACUUGUGAACCUGCUAAAGAUCUGCUAAACCAACAUUCACAAGACACUGUGAUCUCAUUCAUUCUGCCCCUGGAAGUUUCUGGGGGUAGAAGUUUUAAUAUUACUAUGAUUAUUAACAACAUCAAAACAAUAAUCAUAGUGAUUUCAGAGGACCAGCGAUGAAGCAUGCUACCCAACUCCUGACAGAGAGGUGACAGGCUCAAUAUACAGAAUGAGGAAUACAUUUUUUGGCCAUGAACAAGAACUCUGCGCCACAGAGGAGAAACAUGAGCAAGGCUGCUAGAUGCUGAGGGGAAGAUAAAAGGAGUCUCUGAGCAACAUAUCCUGGAUAGCAGAGCAGAAAGGACACACAUGCCCAAAGAAAUACAACCGUUUUCCAUUUGCAAGAUGAGGCACUCGGACCCAGGGAGGUGUGUGAGCACAUGGAAAAACAAAAAAAAAAUUAAAUAAAAUUUAAAAAA
Phascolarctos cinereus (koala) is the source of this 851-nucleotide non-coding RNA. NCBI's taxonomy places the organism in Eukaryota, Metazoa, Chordata, Mammalia, Diprotodontia, Phascolarctidae. The record is from RefSeq and is a predicted model, not a curated record.